AGCGAACGCUGGCGGCAGGCUUAACACAUGCAAGUCGAGCGGGCACUUUCGGGUGUCAGCGGCGGACGGGUGCGUAACGCGUGGGAACGUGCCCUCUGGUUCGGAAUAACUCAGGGAAACUUGAGCUAAUACCGGAUACGCCCUUUUGGGGAAAGGCUUGCUGCCGGAGGAUCGGCCCGCGUCUGAUUAGCUAGUUGGUGAGGUAACGGCUCACCAAGGCGACGAUCAGUAGCUGGUCUGAGAGGAUGAUCAGCCACACUGGGACUGAGACACGGCCCAGACUCCUACGGGAGGCAGCAGUGGGGAAUAUUGGACAACGGGCGCAAGCCUGAUCCAGCCAGGCCGCGUGAGUGAUGAAGGCCUUAGGGUUGUAAAGCUCUUUUAUCCGGGACGAUAAUGACGGUACCGGAGGAAUAAGCCCCGGCUAACUUCGUG
This 435-nucleotide ribosomal RNA is filed under the name uncultured bacterium. RNAcentral's name for it is "partial 16S ribosomal RNA". It matches the Rfam family "Bacterial small subunit ribosomal RNA", at positions 29 to 507 of the family's 1533-position model. The record is from RNAcentral.